UACGUAGGGUGCAAGCGUUGUCCGGAAUUAUUGGGCGUAAAGAGCUCGUAGGCGGUUUGUCGCGUCUAUCGUGAAAACCUGCAGCUUAACUGUGGGCUUGCGGUGGAUACGGGCAGACUUGAGUUCGGUAGGGGAGACUGGAAUUCCUGGUGUAGCGGUGAAAUGCGCAGAUAUCAGGAGGAACACCGGUGGCGAAGGCGGGUCUCUGGGCCGAUACUGACGCUGAGGUGCGAAAGCGUGGGGAGCAAACAGG
RNAcentral lists this ribosomal RNA (253 nucleotides) under uncultured bacterium. RNAcentral describes it as "partial 16S ribosomal RNA". It matches the Rfam family "Bacterial small subunit ribosomal RNA", at positions 524 to 776 of the family's 1533-position model. The record is from RNAcentral.